This 20534-nucleotide long non-coding RNA is filed under the name Zostera marina. RNAcentral describes it as "long non-coding RNA (ZMAR_LNC005420)". Lineage: Eukaryota; Viridiplantae; Streptophyta; Magnoliopsida; Alismatales; Zosteraceae. The record is from RNAcentral.
AAGAUACAUCCUAAGAUCCAUUUGCUAAUUACCAAAUCUGUUUGUUGCAGUGAAAAUGAAUUAAGGAGAAGUGCAGGACCCUUGAAAAGAGUUAUAACAGUAGCUCCUACUACUGUUAUUAAUGUUCCAACCAGUUUCCUCCAUCCAUAUCUGUCAGUCAGAUUCACCUUCUCGAUCCUCAAUCCUACUGACAUGAUGAAAAUGAUCGCCGGAACGGUGUUAAGUAUAGCAGAAGAGAAGGUUGAUGAUAUAUAAGACAGACCCAGAAGAAAUAACCAUUGGUUUAAUGUAACCCUACAAUCAAUAAUUAACAAUCAACCAUGCAUCACCAAUAUGUAAAUACUGCGGAUUUCAGUGUUUUUUUACGCGUUAUUGCUGGUAUGAUCUCACCCAAAACAAAAAAUAUAAAUACUGAUCAAUGAAUGAUGAUUGGAAUUGAAACUUACCCAAUCAGCGCGAUAAGAAUGAAUUGGAGCAGUAAUGAGAGUGUCAGAGGUGGUCUGUCAUUCCUGUAAGUGAUUCGGUGAUUGAUGGAAUAUUAUAAAUCUGCAAUGUGUAAUUAAUCAUAUGCAUUGAUUAAACUUACUUUUCAAGAAAAUAUGCAAAGGGUGCCAAGAAUAAGAAACCAAUUAUGUUCCUGUAAGUUGAGAACACAAGUUUGCUCAAACCCAUGUUCAGAGAGAGAGCACACACCACAGUUAAACCUGCAAGAAAAAGCUGGAGAACCAGCACUCCCAAAAGAAGCUUCAUCACUCUAGUUUGAGUUCUCUAGAUGCUAACUACCUCCUCUUCUCCUCUACCUCUUUUCAUUUAAGCUAUCUUUGCUGCAAAAUUGCUCAAUUACUGAACUGCAAACUGCAUGAUACUAUCUUCACCGGCUCCAUCGCAAUAAAUUAAAAGGCUAGAAAAAAAUCUUAUCUUCUUAAUGUCUGGGCUUCUGCUCCACCCCAUGUUCCUUGCCUUCAAUAAUUGCCACUAUAUGUUGGUGAAAAUAGUAGACCCCAAGGUCAAUUUCCUUCACCAAUCACCUUAAAACCGUGAUUGGGACCGAAAUUGUGCCAAAUUUUUUUUCCUACCCUGUGCCCAGUUGCACUGAUAAUUUUUCGGGGCGGGUUGGGGCCAAAAAAGAUAGGAAAUUCUUCUUUUUGCGGUGGCACCCCGUCCCACCCGUCAUAUUUUCCAGAGCGGGUCUCGAGGCAAGACUGCCCCAUCUCGGUUUUACCCCGGUUUUCAUAAACCAGGGUGGGGCACGGGGGUAUUACCGCCCGUUAUCCGUCACGUUCUCACCCCUACUUAAUACAGUUAAUAGUGAAUGGUAUAUUAUUGUAUAUAAUAUAUUAAUACAAUACACAAGUUUUCAGACGAGCAUGUUCUUUUUAAGCACAAAUUUUAAAGACUAAGAAUACAAGGAAAUAAGAUAAAUGUCACCCAUAAAGGCAUGUGUGUAAAGAAUACAAAAGAUAAGGAAGGAAUGCAAAAUCACCCAUCAGGUGAUAUACCAAAACCACAUAAUAUAUAUAAUGAAAAUUAUAAGAUCGAGAGAUGAUUUAGAAUCAAUCGUGUUUGAUAUUGGGCAAAUGUCUUGAUACUUAUACACAAUGAACAAGAUUGGAAAUAUAAACAAGAUUGGAAAUAUAAACAAGAUUGGAAAUAUAAACAAAAUAGGAAAUAUGAACAAGAUAGGAAAUAUGAACAAGAUAGGAAAUGUAUCCUUCUCCUAAUCCCAGUAUCAAUCAUAUAUUCUUCCUGGAUGUAUGGGAUCUUUGCCAACAAGCUUUAUCCUUAAUGUAUGGGAUCCUAGUAUCAAUCAUAUAUUCUUCCUGAAUAUAUGAGAUCUUUGUCAACAAGCGUUAUCCUUAACACGCCCCCUCAAUCUUGUGAGAUUGCUCCAACAAGAUUAGAUUUAAGCUCUAAAAACGGUUCUGGUCUUAAGGGCUUAGUAAGUAUAUCUGCCUUUUGUUUCGAAUUCGCAAUGUGACACACAACUAGGGUUUGAUUUUCCACUCGCUUACGAAUGAAAUGUAAAUCAAUAGCCAUGUGUUUGAUUUUCGUGUUGAACACGGGGUUUAUCUUGAUGGUUGUGGCGCUUUGAUUAUCGCAGUAGAUUUUCAUUGGCACAUUCACUUGUACCCCAAGUUCCUCAAGUAAUGAAUUGAGCCAUUCCAACUCGCUCACAGUCGCAGCAGUGCUCUUGAAUUCCGCCUCCGUGCUAGACCUUGCGAAGGUCGGAUGUUUUUUUGAGUACCAUGCGACAAGAGUACCUCCAGCGUAUAUUAGAAUUCCUGAAUGGCUCUUGCGGUUUGAAGUAUCUUCUGUUGGUUAUUUGUACACUAUGCUUUAAGCAUAUUAGUAUAUUCUUUAUUAUUGUAACGUACUAACCUCCCACUACAUUAGUUAUGGGGUGGUUACACUCAAGUGUAUAUAUAUUCAUAAAUAAGGAGCAUAAUAACCAUCUCAGUUAUUUGUCAAAACCACCAUUGUUGAUCUUCCUUCCAUCCUUCAUUAUGGCCGAAACUAGCCAAUCCUCCCCCUCCAUGUUUUCAUCGUCCACUACGAAUGCUAGUCCGAUCUUUAAUAUCUUCCCCCAGUCCGCGUCAUAAUACCCGAUCGGAUCCAUGCUUUUCACUUUUUGUAGGAAAAUUCAGAAAUUAUGUGUUCCUGAGAGGUAGCGCAAAAUCUUUUUGAGUGUGAUCCAAUGAAUCGGUCUGGGAGAUGUCAUAUACUACGAAAGUUUAUUAACCGAAUAACUGAUGUCGGGUCUAGUCAGAAAGAGGUACUGAAGCGAACCAAGGAUGCGUCGAAAUUCUUUCUCUUCCUUGAUGGGUUCUUCUUCAGAUACCAAUGAUUCAUUUGCAGUCAUUGGUGUUGAUGACGGCUUAAGGUUCUCCAUCCAACAACUCUGUAGGAGAUCUACGAGUUAUUGCUGCUGAUUUAGAUGUAGCCCACCAUAUUUUGUGUAUUUGAUCUGAAUAACAAGAAAGAAUUUUAAUUCUCCCAGAUUACAUAUUGAAAAUUCUUUGGCCAAACAUACGAUAAUCCUUUAAACUUCUUCUUCAUUUGAUCCGCAAAUCACUAUUUCAUCGACAUAGACAAAUAGGAAGACUGUGAAUUCCUUAUUGAGUAUGAAUAAUGAUGGAUCCAAAAUACUUCCCAAAAACUCAAUAGAUUUGAGAAAAUCUCUUAGUCGCUUGAACCACAUCCGUGGUGACUGCUUGAGACCAUAUAGAUCUCGAUUAAGUAGGCAUACAUGAUCGGGCUUGUCGUGAUCAUUGAACCCCGCCGACUGAGACAUAAUAAUGUGUUUGGUGAGAUUCCCAUACAUGAACGCAUUAUUUAUAUCAAUUUGAUUUAGCCACCACCCCCUUGAAAUGGCGAUGGUGAGCACUACUCUAAUCGAGACCGUCUUGAUCACAGGGCUGUAUAGUCCGUCCCCUAUUGUUGUCUCAUGCCGUUAGCGACCAGUUGAGUGUUCAAUCUUUCCACCGAUCCAUCGUCUCUUUGUUUAACUUUGAAGAUCCAUUUGCAGUUAAUGGCGUGGUUUGAAUCUUCGCGAGGCACGAGAGACCAAGUGUUGUUCCUUUAGAUUGAGUGCAACAAACACUUCACACAUCGCCUCUUUCCACUUGGGAAGCGUAAGAGCAACUUUGACCGAUUUGGGAACCAUAAUAUCUGAAGCCGCAAUUGACAAUGCAUAUUUAGGAUUGGGUUUCGGUAUCCUUUCCGAUUUCUUUUUCCUAAUCGGAGAUACGACUUCAUUUUCGCCUUCAUUAUCUGAAGAAUUUGAAGAAGGAGUGUAGUCAGGAUCAGAAGUGUUACAAAUGACCUUACUUGUCUGCGACGGUAGAGACGACGAUGGCCUGAGAUCAGGAUUCGGUAAAUGUUCACUAUCAGGCGCGAGUGAGGAUAUCUCAUCGCUACCGAUUAAAUCUGUAAUCGGGUCUGGAACUAGUGAAAUUUUCCCAAUUCCGUAAUUAUUUCCCGAAACAAUUUCACCUAUAGCUAGAACUUCUAUCCUUGUUGUCCUGAGAUUCUCCACCGGUACAUCGACAGUUUCCUACGUCGCUUCUUUAGGGUUCGAAAAACAUUGAUUUAGAGAGAAAUCCGUCUUACAGAAAUGCACGUCUCUAGAAGUGAACAUUGUGCGAGAGAUGGGAUCAUAGCAUAAAUACCCAUAUUGAUUCUCCGAGUACCCAAAAAAUACGCAUUCAACAGAUUUGUCUGCCAGUUUGUCCUCACGAUACGGGCAAAGAUUAGGAUAGGCAUAUGAUACGAGAUAAUUUGGAAUCAAUAUUCGUGUUUGAUAUUGGGCAAACGUCUUGAUACAUACUUAUACACAAUGAACAAGAUAGGAAAUGUAUAUCCUUCCUCUAAUCCCGGUAUCAAUCAUAUAUUCUUCUACAUCCAAGAAGAAUAUAUAAUGUAUAUCCUUCCUCUAAUCCCGGUAUCAAUCAUAUAUUCUUCUUGGAUGUAUAAGAUCUUUGCCAGCAAACGUUAUCCUUAAUGUAUGGGAUCCCGGUAUCAAUCAUAUAUUCUUCCUGGAUAUAUGGAAUCUUUGUCAACAAGCGUUAUCCUCAACAAAAAUUACAUACACAACGAGACUAAAACCUUAGACCCUCAAUAACCUUAAUAAUUAUUGUGAUCAGUUGAUCUAAUCUCCUCUGUGUGUGGUUUUUUUCUAAAUCUCUAAAAAAAAGGUAGAACCAACUCUAUAGAUCAUUAUGGAAUAGAAUAAAAUAUUACACAAUCUGUGUACUCUAUUACAGAAUACAACAACUCUCUACAUAAUGUUAAUAAAAUAUUUGUAUCAAAUCAUGAGAACUUUAAGUAUUUUAAUUAUAACUUGCGCCAACAGAUCUUCUUUUAUAUCUUUCUGUUUUUUUCUAUGCUUUUUUUCUGGACUCUUACUGGUUGCUGUUUUUUAAUUAUGCAGGAAAAGGGAUAAGAUACGAUGCAGAAGCUAUCGUGCUAUCAAUAGGAGAAAGUCGAAAAUAUUCUAAGCUCAUGCAUCGAGAGUCUGUAUUCACCGAGUAACAAGCAAUAAGAAAGAGACAUCAAGUGAAAUUAAAAUUAACCGAUGCAAUGCUUUUUCACGGGGUCGACGAAAGUCUCCAGUGAGAUACACUAUCGUGUGGGAAUGGAGAUGGAAUGGUAAAUAUUACGGAUGCAGAACAAACAAAUUUAUUCACAAACAAGUUAAGUUAGAUUAAUUAUUUGCUGUUUGGGUAUCUGUAAAAAAUUUAUUCUUCAACAAUGGGUCAUAAAAGACCAAUCAAUUUGACCUUAAACUUGAUCUAAACAUGAAGAUGCAUCUCCAGAUCCAUUUGCUUAUCUCCUAUGGUAGGUAGAGUGAUGGUAACUUUUUUUUUUAAUAAGUUGUUUUAUAUAUUAAAAAUUUAAGGUCUACAGAAAUUCAACACACAAAAACAAUUGAUUUAAAUAUAAUCAUACUUACUUUCUACUUACUCUCUAUCAAAGGAGACGAGUUUGCCCCGCAGUUAAUCAAUUUUAACUUCCUUCUUUCAUCCUGUUGUGGAUCAGCAACUGAAGAGCAUCACAUUGAUGUAAUGCCCUCUCUUCCGCAUUCCUCUUGUGUGGCUUUUUGAAUUUGUUUUCCUUGAAAGCGAUUUCCGUCGAUCUGAUGCAUUUCCUUAUGAUCAUUUCCUGCGAGGUUGAGAUUCUUCCAUGGUGACGUUGGUUUCGCUCCUUUUAUAUGUGGAACAGUAUGAAACCAAACAUUGUCCAAUGCAAUCCCCAACACUUUGAUCCAGGAGUGAUUUUAUCAAUUUCACGAGCAAUGAUUUCAAAAUCCCCAAUGUUUUGUGUAUUUACCAACCCACCCGCUGCAUCAAAGCCCUUCUUUAGCAUCCACUUCGCGAACCUGCAUUUGAAAAAAACAUGAGAUAUUGUCUCAGGUUCUUCACCACAUAAUACACAAUCUUCUGCCACAUUCAAUUUUUUAUGUCUCAGUCUUAUCCCUUGUUGCUAUGUUGCCCCUCUGUAUUCUCCACAUGUUCAAGGAGAUUUUGUGUACACCUGAUGACCAUAUACCUAUCGUUAGAUCAUCCUUCGGGGUUGUCUUCCUCAGCGUAUCCACUGCAAUUGCUAAUGAUUGUCGACUACCAUUCCCCUUCCACUGAAUUGUUCGGUUUGGUGUACAAUCUAUACAUUUGUUUAUGUUUUCACGUUGUCGCAAGACCUCCCUCCACAUGGCCGAAUCAUUAUAGCAUCUCGAUAGGAGAAUCUGAAUCGGGAUAAUUUUUUAUAAAAACCUUAAAAUAAAAUUAUAAAAGUAUAAAACCACCUUUAAUAAAGUUAAUUAAUAGUCAAUUAAUCAUCCUAAAAUCUGAAUAUCCGGAAGUCAAUUUAUAUUUAUUCGGAUAUCCGAAUUCAAAAUUAUCAACCGAAUUCGAAUUUUAACGGCGGAUAUUGCAGAUAUCUGAAUCCGUCCAGAUAAUUUUCAGAUAUCAUUUUUGGUAUCCGAUCCGAAUCCGAAAAUCCGAAUUCGAAUAAACAUAUUCGAAUUUGAAAAUAGAUACGAAUACAAAUUUCGGUAUAUACAAGUUUCGGUAUACAAGUCCGGAGUUAAUUUUAGUCUCGUUAAAUAUUUUGGAACCGAAGGUCCAGGUCCGGACCCGAUCAUUAACCAGUUCGAAUUCUGCACCCUAGUACUAAGUGACAUGCAUGUAGGUAGGUAUUAAAAGUUUGUAAUACAAUUAUUUUAAUUAUUUACAUUACUCAAUUAGUCAAUUAAUUUACUGAACUACCGAUGCUAUUUGAACUACCACGCCCAACAAAUCAAUUUUCCAACUUCAAAAAAAACAUGUUAGAAACGUUUGUACUAACAGUGUACAACAACUGACUGAAAUCGGACGGACAACGACAUCUAGCACAAAUAGCGCAAUUUAUAUUCGACACACCUGAUGUAUGCCGUAUAAUUAUUAUCUUAACAAAUCUCCUCAUCUUCAUUCAGAAGUCUCUGGUUAAUAUCAUGUUCUUGAUGAUUAGAUAUUUCAGUUUGUUCUUGAUGAUUAUUCUCCCCACUUCUACCCCAUAGCACCAGGUAAAGUCCAAUUACAAUGAUCAAACCGCCAAUAAUCCUGUGAAAAUUCAACAAAAUUAACUAAAAUCACUUCCUUGUUUCCUGUUAUAUAUAUUUUUUAAUCAACUUACCCUCCAGAAUAUAGUUGGUCCCCAAGUAAGAAGAAACCCAAAACAGCAGUAGCUAUGGUUUUGACCGGAUCGAAAAUCCCGACAAAGAGUGGUCCUCCGUUAUUAAUGCACCAUGCUUGAAGAGGAAAACUCAUCCCUGAUACAAUAACUCCCUGUAUGAUGUAUAAAAUCAUGAACGUAUAUGAUCGAUCUCUAUUAUUAUAACGAUCGUCACCGUCAUAUAUAUUGGAAGCUCACAUUAUAGAGCAAAGCUAACAACACUCCUCUUGAUUCAAUCUUCCACAUCUCGACGUCUCUCUCAGUGAUUGCCGAGAUGGCAGCCAAUUGGAGUGAUCCGAAUAAGCAAGUGUAGGUAGUGAGUGUGAGCUUUGCUGGGUACUUCUUUAAAAGUGGAUCUUGAAGUACCAACCAACUUGAUCUUGCUAAACAAGCCCCAAACAUGAAGAUGCAUCCUAAAGUCCAUUUGCUUAUUACAUCUGUUUGUUGUAGUGAUGAUGAAUUGAGGAGAAGUACAGGACCUUUGAAAAGAGUUAUGACAAUAGCUCCUACUAUUGUUGUUAAGGUUCCAACCAGUUUCCCCCAUCCAUAUCUUUCAGUCAGACUCACCUUCUCGAUCCUCAAUCCCACUGACAUGAUGAAAAUCAUCGCCGGAACGGUGUUGAGGAUGGCAGAAGAGAAGGUUGAUGAUAAGUAAGACAACCCCAGAAGAAAUAACCAUUGGUUCAAUGUAAUCCUACAAUCAAUCAACCAUCAACCAUGCAUCAACAAUGGUUUAAAUUAAUGGUUCUGACGAAAUUCAGUGCUUUAGCGAUGGUAUGAUCGUAUCCAAAACAAAAAAAAUAUAAAUAAUGAAUGAAUUAAUGGUGAUUGGAAUUGAAACUUACCCAAUCAGCGCGAUAAGAAAGAAUUGGAGCAGCAAUGAGAGUGUUAGAGGUGGUCUUUCUUUCCUGUUAGUGAUUAGUAGUGGUUAUUGAUCUAUCGAUCAUUUAGACAUUAAUCAUUGAUGAAUUAAAAAAAAAUGCAUAUAGUGAAACUUAACCUACUUUUCGAGAAAAUAUGCAAAAGGUGCCAAGAAUAAGAAACCAAUGAAGUUCCUGUAAGUUGAGAACACAAGUUUGCUUACAUCCGUCUUCAGUGAGAGAGCAGAUACCACAGACAUUCCUGCAGCACAAAUUUGGAGAACCAAAACUCCCAAAAGAAGCUUCAUCGUUCUUCCCGCUAGUUAUCCUCGAUCUCCGGCCUCUUCAGAUCUCCUCUCUUUUAACUGUAAGUUUUGCAAAUUAAUUGCUCUCCGCCUAUAUUAAAUUCCCAACUACAUGGUAGAGGACACUCUCCAUUUGAAUAGAUCCAUAUAAGCAAGUCAGUGAGUCUGAAAAUAUAUCAUGUUAAAAUAUAUGCAACUGGCUUGAAGAUAAAAAUAUAUCUCAGAUACAACAACUCUCUAUAUGAUCAUGGUAAUAAAAUAUAUGCAACUGGCUUGAAGAUAAAAAUAUAUCUCAGAUACAACAACUCUCUAUAUGAUCAUGGUAAUAAAAUAUAUUGUAUGAAAUCAUGAAAACUUCCACCAACGAAUCUCCUUUUGAUUUAAUCUCCCACAUCUCUUCUAGUGAUUCCAGAUUUGUCGGCCAAUUUGACAGAUCCAAGUAAGCAAAUGCAGACAUUGAAUGUGAGCUUUUCUUGGUACUUGUUCAACAGUAGAUCAUAAAAGACCAAUCAACUUGAUCUAAACAUGAAGAUGCAUCUCCAGACUCCAGAUCAAUUUUCUUAUCUCAUAUGGUAGGUAGGUAGAGUGAUGGUGACUGACUUAAUGUCAGCAGGGAUAACAAUCUAUAUGUUUUCCUUUAUCUAUAGUUAAUUAGCAGUGACAAACUUGAUAUUUGUUGAUUGAAUUUUGACUCUGUGAGAUUGCAAUAUUAUUCUCUAAGAUUAAUAGUAGUUAAACAUAAUGAUUAAGACCUUUAACACUUAAUAAAUAGGGUCAGUUUCAAGUGAGAUUCACUAUAAAUAUCUUUUGAGAAUCCAUAGACUAGGCAUUUCCCGAUGCCUGGCACUAGGAAUGGGCAUGUUUCGGGUUUGGUUCAGGUUUAUUCUCACCGGAACCUGAGUUUUGAAAUCGAGUUUGUAUCAAAAUCCGAAAACGUCUAAAAUUAUAGAACCUGAACCCGAUUUGGAAGUUAGGUUUGGUCGGGUUCAAUCGGACUUCGAGUCUAAUAAUUUUUUGAAAAGAAAUGCAUAAAAAAUCCUGUUAUUUAAAUAAUUUAAUCAAAUAAUUUUGAAAACCUUAAAUAAGAUAAAAUAUCAAAUAAUUUUUAAAUAAUUUUUUAAUGAAAGACUCAAAUGUGAAAAUGAAUCCGACAACGACAACAGCGAGGAGAUGGAAGAUGAAAAUGGAAAAGGAAAGAAAAAUGAUAAUAAUAUUAAAUGUCUAUAUUAAAUUUUUAUAAAAUAUUUUAUAUAAAAUGAAAUUUUCUUUAUAUUAAUUAUUUAUAUUUUAAGAUUUUUUAUAAAUUUCUUCGGAUUUCGGGUGAGUCGAGUUUGGUUGAGGUCUUACCCGAAUCCGACUCAAAAAAAUCAUGUAAAAAAAACUCGAAUUCGUAUCUUUCAUAUCUGGUUUUAUGAUCGACAAUAUCUACCUAACACUUUAUGCGAUACAACGAAUUCUCGUUAUUAUAUUAUAUAAUGUUAUAAUUACAUAAUAUUUUAUUUAAAAACAGGUGGUUUUGUGUUGCCUUGAUAUUAUGAGUCGAGCGAAUGACUCGUCUUUUCCUCACCCCUACUUUUUACUGGUCCCCUCAUUAAAGAUCAAAGUCUAUUUUAUAAUAUUAAUAAUUUAACAUAUAUACUAGUAGGGAUGCAAAAAAAAAAAUUGAUAUUCGACAAACUGUUUGAUUCGAUCCGGGUUCGAUCCGGUUAUUAAACGAACCAAACCUAAAUCUUAUGAAGCGAUCAACAUUCCUACACUCCAAAUCCAAUCAGCAUUUAAAGAAAAACUGAUCAAAGAUCAAACCAUCGAAGAACAACCAUAAGAGAUUUCAGUCAAUAACGUCAUCCGAAGGAGCAACCGUCGGAAGGAUUCUGUUGGUAUCAGGGACCGUCCAAACGGCCUCCUGACCAAACAGGUCCAUCAAGGCCCAGUAAGCCCAAGGGUUUAGGCUAUAAAUACCUCCCCUGGUUCAACAGGGAAGGGGAUCGAUUAUUAUAGUAAACACAAUAUUAGAGAGUUGUGUGUGUAAGCACCCUAGCGCGAGCCCACACACCAUCAGAUUCAAAUCAACAAAACGACUACAUAUAUUAUUAGAAAAAUAUAUCUUUAAUUAUCUCAUGUAUACGAUGUUGGAUUGAUAAGAUUCAUCAUCGUUGAAAGGAGGAAUGGAGAUGAGCUUGUGAGUCAUGUAGACGAUGGAUGUAAGGAAAAAAUAGAAAAUAAGUUUUGGGAAAUCAAAAGCUUGGUGAUGUCUCUUUAUUAAGUGUAUAUUUAUACGGUAAUUUUCAGGUACGCCGUACGUCGGUGUACCAAAAUACGUCGUUCGCAUCAUGUCCUUUAAUUUUUAAUCAAAUAUAGCUACAAUAAUGUACUGCAUAAAACAUUAACACAUUUACGAUAAAAAAAAUGUACAACAAAAGACACUAACUCAUGUACGACGAAAUGUCGGCCAAAUAGUCAGAAUUUUUUGGCGCAUUAAAAUUCGCACACAAGAAACUUACCCUAUAUUUAUAUACACUUAGAGUAACAAUCCACUUAUAUUGUAGUGGAGAUUGUUACCAUAAUAUUGGAAUAAUAGAAUAUAAGUGAUGAGGGUGGAACCUGACCAAUGUUCGGCGUCGCUUCGAACAAGCGCCAGAUGGGGAACUUUGCGGGGAAAUCAGGCCGGGACUCAGUUGCUCAAAGCUCAGCUUCGUUGGGACUUCUCCACUCUCAAUGAUUUGCCCAAAUGAGUGAGAGGUGCCUCAUAUUUAUAGGACUUUUUAUGGGGGGCAAUCUGAUCAUUUGGGCCAUAACCACCUAACUGACCAGAUCUGGUCCCUAAUCGACUUUUCCGGGAUCGACUUUCUUAAGGUCCGACUUUUCUAGAGUCUGACUUCCUGAGAAAGUCGAGUUCUAGGAAAGUCGACCUCUGAGGAAGUCGAUCUUCCCAGGUGUUGACUUGGGACCUCCCCAAACCUGGAAUAGGUGUUUCAGCUCAUCUUGGGUUAUCCGAACCUCUAGUUGCUGGUGCGUUGUGACCAAGUUCGGGAUAUUGUAUCACCAAUAAGUAUUAUACAGUUUGAUAAUUAUAAUAUUUGUAUUCCAAUACCUCCCCUCAAGAUGGCGUGGAUUGAUCAACAACGCCGAGCUUAGAUUUUAUCUCGAGAAAUCGUGAUGAGGGCAAUGGUUUUGUAAAACCAUCCGCGAUUUGAUCUCUCGUUAAUAUAUGUGUUACCUGUAUUGUUCCAUCUUGAACUAAUUCUCAUACAAAAUUGAAAUUGAGUGUCAUAUAUUUCAUCCUGGAGUGAAACACUGGAUUAUGUAUCAGAUAUUUUGCGCCUAGAUUAUAUGUCCAUAGUUGUGAGCAGGUAACCUGUAUUACUCAAAGUUCUUUUAAUAAAUUUUGUAUCCAUACAAUUUCCGAGGAAACAUCAGCCAGAAUACGAAACUCGGCUUCUGUAGACGAUCGUGCAACUGUAGGUUGUUUUUUGGCUGAUCAUGACUCUAAACUUUUCCCGAUAAAUAUUUCAAAACCUCUCGUACUUCAUCGAUCGUCUUGACAUCUUACCUAAUAUGUAUCGAUUCUGUAUAACCAUGAUGGAGUGAACAAAAUUCCAUGAUUGCUAGUACCUUGUAAAUAUCUCAACGCCUGUUUCGUUUCUGUCCAAUGUAGUGUGGUGGGGUUUGGGAGAUACUGAUACAAUUUGUUUAUCACAAACGAUAUAUCUGAUCGAGUGUUUACAAGAUACAAACAACUUAUCUUCGAAUGGUACUCCGUCAGUUGAAUUUAACUUCAUAGACGUUGACAUAGGUGUGGGUGCAGACUUGACCUUGUCCAUUUUUGUUCGACCCAAUAAGUCACACGUGUACCGAUGCUUAGAGAGGACAUACCCCCCAGUUGUACAAAUCAGUAUUUGUAUACAAAAUUCAGUUUAUAUACUUUAUUCAGUUUAUACAAAAUUCAGUUGUAUACCACAUAACUUAUCAAAAAAUAUUAUCUUUAAGAUACUCAAGAAAAUAGAUAUAUAUUAUUUUAACAGAUCUCCUCAUUUUCAUUCAGAAGUCUCUGGUUAAUAUCAUGUUCUUGGCUGGUCUGAUCAUUAGAUAUUUCAUUUUGAUUAUUCUCCCCACUUCUACCUCAUAGCACCAUGUAAAGUCCAAUCACAAUGAUCAAACCGCCAAUAAUCCUGUGAAAAUUUAACUCAAUUAACUAAAAUCACUUCCUUGUUUCCUGUUAUAUAUAAUUUUUAAUCAGCUUACCCUCCAGAAUAUAGUUUGUCCCCAAGUAAAAAGAAACCCAAAACAGCAGUUGCCAUGGUUUUGACCGGAUCGAAAAUCCCGACAAAGAAUGGUCCUCCGCCAUUAAUGCACCAUGCUUGAAGAGGAAAACACAUCCCUGAUACAAUAACUCCCUACAUAUUAUAUAAAAUCAUGAACAUGAUUGAUCUCUAUUAUUAUAACGAUCGUCGCCGUCAUAUAUAUUGGAAGCUCACAUUAUAGAGCAAAGCUAACAACACUCCUCUUGAUUCAAACUUCCACAUCUCGACGUCUCUCUCAGUGAUUGCCGAGAUGGCCGCCAAUUGGAUUGAUCCGAAUAAGCAAGUGUAGGAAGUGAGUGUGAGCUUUGCUGGGUACUUCUUUAAAAGUGGAUCUUGAAGUACCAACCAACUUGAUCUUGCUAGACAAGCCCCAAACAUGAAGGUGCAUCCUAAAGUCCAUUUGCUUAUCAUAUCUUUUUGUGGCAGUGAUGAUGAAUUGAGGAGAAGUACAGGACCUUUGAAAAGAGUUAUGACAAUAGAUCCUGCCAUUGUUGUUAAGGUUCCAACCAGUUUCCCCCAUCCAUAUCUGUCAGUCAGACUCACCUUCUCGAUCCUCAAUCCCACUGACAUGAUGAAAAUCAUCGCCGGAGCGGUGUUGAGGAUGGCAGAAGAGAAGGUUGAUGAUAUAUAAGACAGUCCCAGAAGAAAUAACCAUUUGUUCAAUGUAAUCCUACAAUCAAUCAACCAUCAAUCAUGCAUCAACAAUGCGUUUAAAUUAAUACUGCGGGGUUCUGACGAAAUUCAGUGCUUUAGUGAUGGUAUGAUCGUAUCCAAAACAAAAAAAAUAUAAAUACUGAAUGAAUGGUGAUUGGAAUUGAAACUUACCCAAUCAGCGCGAUAAGAAAGAAUUGGAGCAGCAAUGAGUGUUAGAGGUGGUCUUUCUUCCAUGUUAGUGAUUAGUAGUGGUUAGUGAUUAGUAGUGGUUAUUGAUCGAUCGAUCAUUUGAAAUUAAUCAAUGAUGAAUUAAAGAAAAUCUGCAUAUAGUGAAACUUAGCCUACUUUUCGAGAAAAUAUGUAAAGGGUGCCAAGAAUAAGAAACCAAUGGAGUUCUUGUAAGUUGAGAAUACAAGUUUGCUUACAUCUGUCUUCAGAGAGAGAGAGCUGACACCACAGACAUUCCUGCAGCACAAAUUUGAAGAACCAAAACUCCCAAAAGAAGCUUCUUCAUCGAUCUUUCGGCAAGUUAUCCUCGAUGUCCUCUUCCUGUGAUUAGCAAGUCAUCUACGUAUGCUAGUAUAAAUAUCUUGCUUGUUUCAUUUAUUUUCAUGAAUAGUACAUAGUCUGACUUGGUUUGUUUAAAUCCCACUUGUAAUGCCACUUGUAAUAUCACUUGCUAUUUUAAUUUAAUAGAUAUAUCAUAGAUAUAUUUACACAUAAAAAAAACUAAGAUUUAAACAGACCAAGUCAGACUAUGUACUAUUCAUGAAAAUAAAUGAAACAAACAAGAUAUUUAUACUAGCAUACAUAGAUGACUUGCUAAUCACAGAAAAUAAUCUAAAAGAAAUAAUACAACUAAAGAAAGAAUUAACUAGCAAUUUUUUUUACCAUAAAAAACUUAGGAAAAUUAAAAUAUUUUCUAGGAUUAGAAUUCACAACAAAACAAUGAUUAUAUAUGAGUCAAAGAAAAUAUGCAACUGAAAUCUAGAACAACCUAAUUAUGUACAUGCAAAACCAGGAGAGUAUCCAUUAUAUACUAGUUCUAGUCAUAAUUCCAAACAGAAUCAAAAGGAAGAAAUUCUUGAAGAUCCUACUGUAUACAGGAAAAUAGUUGGAAAACUCGUAUAUUUAACAGUCACAAGACCAGAUAUCAUGCAUGCAGUUAACUGUCUAAGUCAACAUAUGGCAAGGCCUACAAAUGAAGAUACAAGAAAAGUCAACAAAGUACUGAGAUACAUAAAAAGCUCACCGGGUCGUGGACUCUUCUUUUCAUCAGUAUCGCACACCUCCUGGAUCAAGGCUUUUUCAUACUCAGAUUGGGCUGCUUGUCCAACCACGCGAAGAUCGACGACAGGGUUCGCCAUAUUCCUUAAUGAAAACCUGAUUUCAUGGCAAACCAAAAAGUAACACAGGAUUGCAAGAUCAUCAACAGAAGCAGAAUACCGAGCUCUAGCAUACACGACUUGUGAAAUAACAUGGCUACGACAUCUACUAGAAGAACUAAAAAUAAAUGUACCUGCAACAACGACACUCUUAACAGAUAGCUCCUCAGCUGCUGCAAUCACAAACAACCUAGUUCUUCAUCAAAGAACAAAACAUAUAGAGAUUGACAUACACACAAUAAGAGAUAAGGUGUUUAUAAAGGAGAUAAAAAUAAACAAGGUAAAUACGAAAGAAAAUGUUGCAGACAUAUUUACCAAAGAGGUCACCGACACACUCUUCAGAACUCUUCGUGACAAACUCAGAAUAGAAGAUCUGCAUGCAAGCGCAAAAGAUUAAAGAAGGAAAUAGAAGUAGAAUGAGAAGCUAACUACUAUCAGCGGAGUCACCUUUCUGAAUCCGAUGAUCGUUUUCCAAGCUUCCCACUUUUUUUUCAACUUUUCGCGCAAGAAUAGAGAAACCCCUAGUUACGAACAAGAAGCCAAAGUCACAAUACAAAUAUUCUCUUUUUAUACAAACAGUUGGGCCUACCUUCAAUCCAAAAUUUAAGAUCUCCAAACCAAAGUUUUGUAAAUCAAUUGCUCCCCGUCAAUUAAAUUCCAACUACAUCGUCAGUGAGUGUGAGGUUUGCUAGGUACUUCUUCGACAGUGGGUCAUGGCAGACCAAUCAAACAUGACGAUGCGAUCUCUAUUUGUUUAUCAAAUUAUUAGGUAGAUUGAUGGUGGUGAUUUAAUAAAUAUUUGUCUCAUUGGAAUUAAAAAAUGUUAUCUUUAAAAUAUUUAAGAAACUAUAGUAAGAUUGUUUUGAAUGGUUAAUUUCUAGUAGAGGUGAGCUUGGGUCGGGUCAAAUACGAGCCCGACCUGAACAUAUUUAUUCUAAAAGGAUCAUAUCCGGUUGCAACACACGGUUUAUUUAUUUGUCUAUGUUGAUGACAUCGUCAUUAAUUUCUGGAUCAAAUGACGAUAUUGUUGAAACAAUCAUCGUGAAGCUAAGUAAUGAAUUUUGAUUUACGCUGCUUGGCGAAUCUAUCUUUCUUUCUUGGACUUCAGGUAACAUCGGUUGGUCUUGGGUUGCAUUUGAAUCAGGCUCAAUAUCUCAGCAACUUGCUCAAGAGUUGUGAUCUGGUAAACUUGAAGCCUUCUAUCACGCCUAUGGUCAAGAAUCAAGAUCUUCACUCAGUAGAAGAACCCAUCAAAGAGGAAAAAGAAUAUCUACGAAUUAUCGGAUCAUUAUAAUAUCUGAUACUAGCUCGUCCGGACAUUCAAUUUGCGUUCAAUAAGUUAUCACAAUUUAUGUCGACUCCAAAACCUCUUCAUUGGGUUGCAAUGAAGAAGAUGUUGCAGUAUCUCUCUAGGACACAACAGCUUGGAAUUCUACUUACAAAUGUAUCACAUUUUUUUCUUUCUAGUUUUUGUGAUGCCGAUUGGGGGGGGGGUGAUACUAUUGAUUGCAAGAGUCAGAGAGGGUACUUGAUCUAUCUUGGUGAGUCGUUAGUUGCGUGGAGCUCUCGGAAACAGGAUAUCGUCGCUCAUUCAAGCACAUAAUCUGAAUAUAGGACUAUUUCUACCACUAUCACGGAAUUGGAGUGGAUGAAGAACCUGUUGAAGGAGUUAGGGGUUGACACUAAAGGUCCAAUGCAACUCAAAUCUGACAAUUUGGGGGCUACGUUUCUCGCGUCUAAUUCAGCUUAUCAUACAAGAUUAAAGCAUGUUGCAGUAGAUCUUAAAUAUGUCAGAGAACGAGUUGAAGCAGGGUCUGUUAAUGUUACUCAUGUUCCUGGGAGGCUACAACAAGCAGAUGUGCUAACAAAGGCUUUGGAUCCUAAAUCGUUUGCUGAGCAAAGAUCCAAUCUUGUGAGUAAACGAUCCCAAGAUUGAGGGGGUGUAUUAUCUUAAACGAUUUGCUGUCAAUUACAUAGCAGCUAUUACACGUUACAUAUCAAUAAAAUCCUAACCCUAUUGUAAUUUAGGUCAAGAUUUUAUUGACCGUCCUUUUUUGUAUAUAGUAACUCCAACGUUACAUUUGUAUAGUUUAAAUAGCAAUGUAUGCAUGAAUAAAACUCACAUUCAUUUUCCUGAAAAUACAUCUUUCAUAAAAUAUAAUAAAACUAGAUAUAUAUCAUUUUAACAGAUCUCCUCAUCUUCAUUCAGAAGUCUCUGGUUAAUAUCAUGUUCUUGGCUGGUCUGAUCAUUAGAUAUUUCAGUUUGAUUAUUCUCCCCACUUCUACCCCAUAGCACCAUGUAAAGUCCAAUCACAAUGAUCAAACCGCCAAUAAUCCUGUGAAAAUUUAACUCAAUUAACUAAAAUCACUUCCUUGUUUCCUGUUAUAUAUAAUUUUUAAUCAGCUUACCCUCCAGAAUAUAGUUUGUCCCCAAGUAAAAAGAAACCCAAAACAGCAGUUGCCAUGGUUUUGACCGGAUCGAAAAUCCCGACAAAGAAUGGUCCUCCGCCAUUAAUGCACCAUGCUUGAAGAGGAAAACACAUCCCUGAUACAAUAACUCCCUACAUAUUGUAUAAAAUCAUGAACAUGAUCGAUCUCUAUUAUUAUAACGAUCGUCACCGUUAUAUAUAUUGGAAGCUCACAUUAUAGAGCAAAGCUAACAACACUCCUCUUGAUUCAAUCUUCCACAUCUCGACGUCUCUCUCAGUGAUUGCCGAGAUGGCCGCCAAUUGGAUUUAUCCGAAUAAGCAAGUGUAGGCAGUGAGUGUGAGCUUUGCUGGGUACUUCUUUAAAAGUGGAUCUUGAAGUACCAACCAACUUGAUCUUGCUAGACAAGCCCCAAACAUGAAGAUGCAUCCUAAAGUCCAUUUGCUUAUCAUAUCUAUUUGUGGCAGUGAUGAUGAAUUGAGGAGAAGUACAGGACCUUUGAAAAGAGUUAUGACAAUAGCUCCUGCCAUUGUUGUUAAGGUUCCAACCAGUUUCCCCCAUCCAUAUCUGUCAGUCAGACUCACCUUCUCGAUCCUCAAUCCCACUGACAUGAUGAAAAUCAUCGCCGGAACGGUGUUGAGGAUGGCAGAAGAGAAGGUUGAUGAUAGGUAAGACAACCCCAGAAGAAAUAACCAUUGGUUCAAUGUAAUCCUAUACAAUCAAUCAACCAUCAACCAACAAUCAUGUAUCACCAAUGUAUAGUAUCCAGUGCUGGUAUAAUCGUACCCAAAACAAAAAAUAAAUAAAUACUGAAUGAAUGAAUGAAUUUAUUGGAGCUUACCCAAUCAGCGCGAUAAGAAAGAAUUGGAGCAGCAAUGAGAGUGUUAGAGGUGGUCUUUCUUUCCUGUUAGUAAUUAAGUAGGCAAUUAGUAGUAGUUAUCGAUUGAUCGAUCAGUCGAAUUUAAUCACCGACGAAUCAAAGAAAAUCAGCAUAUAAUAAAACUUAACCUACUUUUCGAGAAAAUAUGCAAAGGGUGCCAAGAAUAAGAAACCAAUGAAAUUUCUGUAUGUUGUGAACACAAGUUUGCUUACACCCAUCUUCAGAGAGAGAGCAGACACGACAGACAUUCCUGCAACACAAAUUUGGAGAACCAAAACUCCCAAAAGAAGCUUCAUCAAUCUUCCCUCUAGUUAUCCUCGAUGUCCUCUUCAGAUCUCCUCUCUUUUCACUUAAAGUUUUGCAAAGCAAUUGCUCCCCUUCAAUUAAAUACCCAACUACAUCGUCAGUGAGUGUGAGGUUUGCUAGGUACUUCUCCGACAGUGGGUCAUGGCAGACCAAUGAAACAUGACGAUGCAUUGAUCUCUAUUUGUUUAUCAAAUUAUUAAGUAGAUUGAUGGUGGUGAUUUAAUAAAUAUUUGUCUCAUUGGAAUUAAAAAAUGUUAUCUUUAAAAUAUUUUAGAAACUAUAGUAAAAUUGUUUUGAAUGGUUAAUUUCUAGUAGGGGUGGGUUUGGGUCGGGUCAAACACGAACCCGACCCUGAACAUGUUGGUUCUGGGUCUGGGUUCAGAUGGAUAUUUUCGACCCUGAACAUGUUGGAUCCCGAGUUUUUUUAUCCAAUUUUUUCGGGUCAAGUUCGAGUAAGACCCAAACCAAUCCCCCGUAUGAAAUAUAAAAGAAAUUUUAUUUUAUAUAAAAUAUUUAAUAAAUUUAAUAUAUAUAUUUAAUAAAUUUUUCCUCUUCUUCUAAAAUCUAAAAUCUAAAAUUAUUUUCAUUUCCAUCUCUUCUUUCAUUUUCAUCUUCCCUCUCCCUUUCAUCACUGUCGCCGCAUCUAUUUUUACAUUUGAGUAUUUGAAUAAAAAUUAUUUGAUAUUUUAUCUUAUUUAAGAUUUAAAAAAAUUAUUUGAUGUUUUAUAUUAUUUAAGAAUUAUUUGAUGCUUUAUCUUAUUUAAUAAUUAUUUAAUGUUUUAUCUUGUUUAAAAAUUAUUUUAUGUUUUGUAUUAUUUAAGAAUUAUUUGAUGGUUUUUAUUAAUUAUUAUUUGUUAUUUUAUAUUAUUUAAGAAUUAUUUGAUGUUUUAUAUUAUUUAAAAAUUAUUUGAUCAAAAUUUUCAAAUUAUUUAAAUAAUAAGAUUCUUUAUGCAAAAUUUUCUAAAAAAAUCAUUAAACCCGAACCUGACCGAAUCUGACAUCUAAAUUGGGUUCGGGUACUAUGAUUUUGGAUGUUCCCAGGUUUUGACCCGAAUCCGAUUUCAAAACUUCGUUUUACUACAUUCAAAGAUCCUUUCUCUCUCUGAUGUUUACUGAUUUUUGUAGGCCCUACUCCAGUUUUGUCAUCUCAUGGUUUUCGUUAUUAUGUAAAUUUUAUGGAUGCAGAGUCAAAUUUUAAUUGGGUAUUUUCUCUGCAUUUCAAGUCACAAGUUGGAUAGUUGUUUAAAAAGUUUAAAGUAUUGGCAGAGGCUCAAUGUGGUUAUUCGAUUAAAUCAUUUCAGUCAGAUAACGCCAUAUCCGUACAAUCAUCAACAGAUGAGAUCUGUUGAACAUCGUCAUAAAACAAGGUAAAGUCCAAUCACAAUGAUCAAACCACCAAUAAUCCUGUGGAAAAUAAAGUAAAUUAAAUAAAAUCAGCAAGAUUUUUUGUUAUAUAUUAUAUCACAUGCAUGCUUUGAUGCUCACCCUCCAGAAUACAGUUGGUCCCCAAGUAAGAAGAAACCCAGAACAGCAGUAGUAAAAGUUUUAACAGGAUCGAAAACUCCAACAAAGAGUGGUCCUCCACCAUUAAUGCACCAUGCUUGAAGUGGAUAACAUAUCCCAGAUGCAACAACUCCCUGCAUAUAAAAUUUUAAUUAAUAAAAUAUUUUAUUCAAAAUUCAAAUCAUGAACAGCUAGAUAGAUGAUUAUAGUGUAUUACAGUAUAGAGCAAAGCCAGAAUCUCUCCUUUUGAUUUAAUCACCCACAUCUCAAUAUCUCUCUCAGUGAAUGCUGAGAUGGCAGCCAAUUGGAUUGAUGCAAACAAGCAAGUGUAGGCAGUGAGUGUGAGCUUUGCUGGGUAUUUCUUCAACAAUGGAUCUUGAAGUACCAACCAAAUUGACCUUGCAAGACAAGUUCCAAACAUGAAGAUGCAUCCUAAACUCCAUUUGCUAAUAACCAAAUCUGUUUGUUGCAGUGACAAUGAAUUAAGGAGAAAUGCAGGACCCUUGAAAAGUGUUAUAAGACUAGCUCCUACUACUGUUAUUAAUGUUCCAACCAGUUUCCCCCAUCCAUAUCUGUCAGUCAGAUUAACCUUCUCGAUCCUCAAUCCCACUGACAUGAUGAAAAUCAUCGCCGGAACGGCGUUAAGUAUAGCAGAAGAGAAGGUUGAUGAUAUAUAAGACAGACCCAGAAGAAAUAACCAUUGG